RNAcentral lists this ribosomal RNA (243 nucleotides) under uncultured bacterium. RNAcentral describes it as "partial 16S ribosomal RNA". It matches the Rfam family "Bacterial small subunit ribosomal RNA", at positions 111 to 354 of the family's 1533-position model. The record is from RNAcentral.
UAACACGUGGAUAAUCUGCCCUGCACAGGGGGACAACAGCUAGAAAUGGCUGCUAAUACCGCAUAAGCGCACAAAACCGCAUGGUUUGGUGUGAAAAACUGAGGUGGUAUGAGAUGGACCCGCGUCUGAUUAGCUAGUUGGAGAGGUAACGGCUCACCAAGGCAACGAUCAGUAGCCGACCUGAGAGGGUGACCGGCCACAUUGGGACUGAGACACGGCCCAAACUCCUACGGAAGGCAGCAG